CAGGGAAUCUUGCACAAUGGGCGAAAGCCUGAUGCAGCGACGCCGCGUGGGGGAUGAAGGCCCUAGGGUCGUAAACCCCUUUCAGCAGGGACGAAGAUGACGGUACCUGCAGAAGAAGCCCCGGCCAACUACAUGCCAGCAGCCGCGGUAAGACGUAGGGGGCGAGCGUUGUCCGGAUUUAUUGGGCGUAAAGAGCUCGUAGGCGGUUGCGUAAGUCGGAUGUGAAAACUCAGGGCUCAACCCCGGAAAUGCAUACGAUACUGGCAGGCUGGAGACUGGUAGAGGCUAGCGGAAUUCCUGGUGUAGCGGUGGAAUGCGUAGAUAUCAGGAAGAACACCUGUGGCGAAGGCGGCUAGCUGGGCCAGUUCUGACGCUGAUCCGCGAAAGCGUGGGGAGCAAACAGGAUUAGAUACCCGAGUAGUCCCUGAGCGGGCUGGCAAGGCGCAU
This 447-nucleotide ribosomal RNA is filed under the name uncultured bacterium. RNAcentral's name for it is "bacterial SSU rRNA". It matches the Rfam family "Bacterial small subunit ribosomal RNA", at positions 355 to 825 of the family's 1533-position model. The record is from RNAcentral.